This 429-nucleotide ribosomal RNA is filed under the name uncultured bacterium. RNAcentral's name for it is "bacterial SSU rRNA". It matches the Rfam family "Bacterial small subunit ribosomal RNA", at positions 355 to 776 of the family's 1533-position model. The record is from RNAcentral.
UGAGGAAUAUUGGACAAUGGGCGAAAGCCUGAUCCAGCAAUGCCGCGUGUGUGAAGAAGGCCUUCGGGUUGUAAAGCACUUUCAGUAGGGAAGAAGGAUUUAUGGCUAAUACCCAUUGAUAUUGACAUUACCUACAGAAGAAGCACCGGCUAACUCUGUGCCAGCAGCCGCGGUAAUACAGAGGGUGCAAGCGUUAAUCGGAAUUACUGGGCGUAAAGCGUACGUAGGCGGUUAUUUAAGUCGGAUGUGAAAUCCCCGGGCUCAACCUGGGAAUUGCAUCCGAUACUGAAUAACUAGAGUAUGGUAGAGGAAAGUGGAAUUUCCGGUGUAGCGGUGAAAUGCGUAGAUAUCGGAAGGAACACCAGUGGCGAAGGCGGCUUUCUGGACCAAUACUGACGCUGAGGUACGAAAGCGUGGGGAGCAAACAGG